Molecule: ribosomal RNA, 480 nt
Filed under: uncultured bacterium
Lineage: Bacteria
Description: bacterial SSU rRNA
Rfam family: Bacterial small subunit ribosomal RNA
Source: RNAcentral
AUUGAACGCUGGCGGAAUGCUUUACACAUGCAAGUCGAACGGUAGAGGGGGCAACCCCUUGAGAGUGGCGAACGGGUGAGUAAUAUAUCGGAACGUGCCCAGUCGUGGGGGAUAACGUAGCGAAAGUUACGCUAAUACCGCAUACGAUCUAAGGAUGAAAGCGGGGGAUCGCAAGACCUCGCGCGAUUGGAGCGGCCGAUAUCAGAUUAGGUAGUUGGUGGGGGUAAAGGCUCACCAAGCCAACGAUCUGUAGCUGGUCUGAGAGGACGACCAGCCACACUGGAACUGAGACACGGUCCAGACUCCUACGGGAGGCAGCAGUGGGGAAUUUUGGACAAUGGACGCAAGUCUGAUCCAGCCAUUCCGCGUGCAGGAUGAAGGCCCUCGGGUUGUAAACUGCUUUGUACGGAACGAAAAGGUCUCUCUUAAUACGGGGGGCUCAUGACGGUACCGUAAGAAUAAGCACCGGCUAACUACGUG